AGUGAACGCUGGCGGUAGGCCUAACACAUGCAAGUCGAACGGCAGCACAGUAAGAGCUUGCUCUUACGGGUGGCGAGUGGCGGACGGGUGAGGAAUACAUCGGAAUCUACUUUUUCGUGGGGGAUAACGUAGGGAAACUUACGCUAAUACCGCAUACGACCUACGGGUGAAAGCAGGGGAUCUUCGGACCUUGCGCGAUUGAAUGAGCCGAUGUCGGAUUAGCUAGUUGGCGGGGUAAAGGCCCACCAAGGCGACGAUCCGUAGCUGGUCUGAGAGGAUGAUCAGCCCCACUGGAACUGAGACACGGUCCAGACUCCUACGGGAGGCAGCAGUGGGGAAUAUUGGACACUGGGCGCAAGCCUGAUCCAGCCAUACCGCGUGGGUGAAGAAGGCCUUCGGGUUGUAAAGCCCUUUUGUUGGGAAAGAAAAGCAGCAGGUUAAUACCCCGCUGUUCUGACGGUACCCAAAGAAUAAGCACCGGCUAACUUCGUG
Molecule: ribosomal RNA, 492 nt
Filed under: uncultured bacterium
Lineage: Bacteria
Description: partial 16S ribosomal RNA
Rfam family: Bacterial small subunit ribosomal RNA
Source: RNAcentral